Empidonax traillii (willow flycatcher) is the source of this 247-nucleotide long non-coding RNA. RefSeq lists it as uncharacterized. Lineage: Eukaryota; Metazoa; Chordata; Aves; Passeriformes; Tyrannidae. The transcript is spliced from 3 exons. The record is from RefSeq and is a predicted model, not a curated record.
CAGAGUUUUAUCAACACACCUCACAAAGAAGACCAACAAGAAAUGUGCACGUCUGCACAGUGCAGAUGAACCCAAUCAGUCUCUGGCUGUGCCUGACCUACAUGUGACACUUCUGAGCAGAUGUGCAUCAGGAUACAACAGAUGAGAGAAUGCCAGCCCCUGCCAAAAGGACUCCACACAUAUUGGGAAGGAUGAAUACCAAUAAAUCAGGAUCAGAUGGGAUGUAUUGUACAGCUUUUUUGGGGUA